This 782-nucleotide ribosomal RNA is filed under the name Facetotecta sp. Its description in RNAcentral is "SSU rRNA". It matches the Rfam family "Eukaryotic small subunit ribosomal RNA", at positions 6 to 789 of the family's 1831-position model. The record is from RNAcentral. Lineage: Eukaryota; Metazoa; Arthropoda; Thecostraca.
GGUUGAUCCUGCCAGUAGUCAUAUGCUUGUCUCAAAGAUUAAGCCAUGCAAGUCUAAGUACGACUCUCGUAUAGUGAAUCUGCGAAUGGCUCAUUACAUCGGUCAUAAUUUCCUGGACGAGUUAACCAUACUUGGAUAACUGUGCCAAUUGUAGAGCUAAUACAUGCCACAGACUGUCUCUUCGGAGACGGUGCUUUUAUUAGAUCAAACGCCGAUGGCAUUCGUGUCUCGAGCGGCGAAUCGUGAUAACUCUAGCAUAUCGCACGGUUUCACACCGGCGAAGCGUCCUUCAAGUGACUGCCUUAUCAGCUGUCGAUGGUAGUGUAUUGGACUACCAGGCAUUAACGGGUNACGGGGAAUUAGGGUUCGAUUCCGGAGAGGGAGCCUGAGAAACGGCUACCACAUCUAAGGAAGGCAGCAGGCACGCAAAUUACCCAUUCCCGACUCGGGGAGGUAGUGACGAAAAAUAACGAUACGUGGUACUCAUUCGAGAACCCGUAAUUGGAAUGAGUACAAUUUAAAUCCUUUAACGAGGAUCUAUUGGAGGGCAAGUCUGGUGCCAGCAGCCGCGGUAAUUCCAGCUCCAAUAGCGUAUAUUAAAGUUGUUGCAGUUAAAAAGCUCGUAGUUGGAUCUUGGAUACGGGUAUCGCGGUCUGAGCAGUGUCUCUGUACUGCGAUUGCCCUGUCUGUAUUUUCGGAGGCCCGNGGCGGUGUCCUUNUGGGUGCUGUCGGGUGCCGAAGCGUUUACUUUGAAAAAAUUAGAGUGUUCAAAGCAGACACGU